Molecule: long non-coding RNA, 1454 nt
Filed under: Pogona vitticeps (central bearded dragon)
Lineage: Eukaryota; Metazoa; Chordata; Lepidosauria; Squamata; Agamidae
Description: lncRNA (ENSPVIG00000018676.1)
Source: RNAcentral
UAAUUUUAUUAAAUGGACGCAGACUCCGGGGUGUCUGCUAGUGGGGACCGUGCAGGCAAAGGAUAUCUCACUUUGCAGCUUGGCCCACGGACCACCUCUGCCUGUCCUGAUUGCCUGCUAGUGGGGACCGUGCAGGCAAAGGAUGCCUCACUUUGGAGCUUGGCCCACGGACCAUCUCUGCCUGUCCUGUUUGCUCCUCCCCCUCUCUCUCUUUCUCUCUCUCUCCAUCUCUGUGCACACCUGUGUGCAUGCACAUGCAUGUGGGAACCUCCCUCUCCACCCACACCCACCCACACCCCACUGCUUCUCCUGCUGCUUUUCCUUUCUAGACCCAACACCUGUGGAGAAGCCUGCUGCCCCGGCUGGGCCCUGGCGCCCAAGACGGCCAAGUGCACGAAAGCUGUCUGCACGCCUCGGUGCCGGAAUGGGGGCCAGUGCAAAGCCCCCCAGCGCUGCACCUGCCCGGCGGGCUUCACGGGUCCUCGCUGUGAGCACUCUGUCGCCACCACUGCUGCUCCCGCCACCCCAACCCAGCUCCCCAGGGCUCCCCUGGAAGCAGUGGCCAUUCGCUGGCAGCCCUUGACGUGAGUGGGAAGGGGCGGGAGGAAAGAGGCUGCCUGACUCCCUCUUCCCGCAUACAUCCCCGAGGGGACCCCUUAGCUUGCUUGGGGUGCCCCCCAGGGGAAGGAGGAGAGGAGGCACUCUUGUAUGGGCUGCUCAGGGAAGGUUCUGCUGGGAAACAUUGGCAAACAAACCCAGAGACUACGAAGGACGGUUUUUGGAGCCGACCGGUAAACGGAACAACCAGGUGCCAAGACUGGGUAGCCUUCGCCUGCGGAGUUCUAAACAAACUUGGAAGGGAAGUGCUGCCUGUUUAAAGGAAAACGUGUGGCUUAUUGCUACCAUCUGCUGCUUGGCCGGAGGACUGGGUACGUGGGCUGCUCAUGUACUCGGGACAGGCAGGCACCUCACCCCAACAUUUCUGGGUCUGCUCCCUGUCCCUGUUGCAAGCUGUCCUUGAGUGAACAUUAGCCAGUGGAAGGGGCCCUUCCUGGCCUUUUCAGCAGGGAAAGGGGGGGGUUCCUACCCUGUGACAUCACAGACUCCUAACUCUUAACCCUUUCUCACAGGCUUGCUGAACUCCAGGUGGUGCUUCAGAGGCGCAAGGCUUUGGGUCCUUCAGAGAAGAUGGCCACGAUCCUGGCACAGCACCUGGCUUCCCGACCCGAUGGCGGUAGCAACGGCCCUCCCGGACACGGACCCCCAGCCACACGAAGGCCCCAUGGUACAGGGUACAGGGUGAGGGGCAAGGCCCAGGGCAGUGGGGAGUGGGCUUAGGGGGUGUCAGAGAGGAUGCGGGGGGGCCCCUGCUCUGUUAGGUAAAGGCGAGCAAGAGGGACACGGCCAAACAAGAUUUCUUGGGAGCUGUGUAGAUGCUUCUUCUUCAAGGUGGA